This 94-nucleotide ribosomal RNA is filed under the name uncultured bacterium. Its description in RNAcentral is "partial 16S ribosomal RNA". The record is from RNAcentral.
CACCGCCCGUCACACCAUGGGAGUUUGCUGCACCAGAAGCAGGUAGCUUAACCGCAAGGGGGCGCCUACCACGGUGAGAUUCAUGACUGGGGUG